RNAcentral lists this long non-coding RNA (222 nucleotides) under Elaeis guineensis (African oil palm). RNAcentral describes it as "long non-coding RNA (EGUI_LNC040290)". The record is from RNAcentral. Lineage: Eukaryota; Viridiplantae; Streptophyta; Magnoliopsida; Arecales; Arecaceae.
GACAAUUUUUUUUAAAUAAGCUAUGGAAACCGUGGAGUAAUUUGAAUCUUUCACAAUUUAUUCUAUUCAUUCUCUCUCACUUUCUAACUUUUUAUCACAUGACAACUUUUACAUCCUAACCUCGAGAUCCAAAUCAUAUAGUAUAAAUACCAAGGGUUUUACCAACUUGAUAACCUAGUAUCUUCUUCCCACCCAUUCCAUUUAUCAAAAAAUUGGGACCGC